GCCUAACCUAACAUACAAUCAAAUCACCAAUUGUUCGCCAAAUAACUACGAGUUAAAACUUAAAACUUAAAAGACUUGACGGUACUUCACACCACCCUAGAGGAGCCUGUCUAAUAACCGAUACCCCACGAUUAACCCGACCCGCCCUAGCCUUAACAGUCUAUAUACCGCCAUCGCCAGCUCACCUUGUGAAAGAAACAAAGCGGGCCCAACAGCAACCACUAACACGAUAGGUCGAGGUGUAACUAAUGAGCAGGGAAAGAUGGGCUACAUUUUCUAACUUAGAAAAUACGAAUGGACUACGAAAAUAGAAACCGAAGGCGGAUUUAGCAGUAAAUUAGAGAUAGUAAACCUAAUCGAAACGAACGCAAUGAAGUGCGUACACACCGCCCGUCAUCCCUGUAAAAAAACACAAACUUCAUAAACACAAAAAACUAACAAACAGGGCAAGUCGUAACAUGGUAAGCGUACUGGAAAGUGCGCUUAGAAA
This 490-nucleotide ribosomal RNA is filed under the name Hebius venningi (Chin Hills keelback). RNAcentral describes it as "partial 12S ribosomal RNA". It matches the Rfam family "Bacterial small subunit ribosomal RNA", at positions 875 to 1520 of the family's 1533-position model. The record is from RNAcentral. Lineage: Eukaryota; Metazoa; Chordata; Lepidosauria; Squamata; Natricidae.